AGGCAGCAGUGGGGAAUAUUGCACAAUGGGGGGAAACCCUGAUGCAGCCAUGCCGCGUGUGUGAAGAAGGCCUUCGGGGUUGUAAAGCACUUUCAGUAGGGAGGAAGGUAGUGUAGUUAACACCUGCAUUAUUUGACGUUACCUACAGAAGAAGCACCGGCUAACUCCGUGCCAGCAGCCGCGGUAAUACGGAGGGUGCGAGCGUUAAUCGGAAUUACUGGGCGUAAAGCGCAUGCAGGCGGCCUGUUAAGUCAGAUGUGAAAGCCCGGGGCUUAACCUCGGAAUUGCAUUUGAAACUGGCAGGCUAGAGUCUUGUAGAGGGGGGUAGGAAUUUCAGGUGUAGCGGUGAAAUGCGUAGAGAUCUGAAGGAAUACCAGUGGCGAAGGCGGCCCCCUGGACAAAGACUGACGCUCAGAUGCGAAAGCGUGGGGAGCAAACAGGAUUAGAUACCCUGGUAG
RNAcentral lists this ribosomal RNA (458 nucleotides) under uncultured bacterium. Its description in RNAcentral is "bacterial SSU rRNA". It matches the Rfam family "Bacterial small subunit ribosomal RNA", at positions 346 to 793 of the family's 1533-position model. The record is from RNAcentral.